GACGAACGCUGGCGGCGUGCCUAAUACAUGCAAGUAGAACGCUGAGGGAGGAGCUUGCUCUUCUGGAUGAGUUGCGAACGGGUGAGUAACGCGUAGGUAACCUGCCUGGUAGCGGGGGAUAACUAUUGGAAACGAUAGCUAAUACCGCAUAAGAGUAGAUGUUGCAUGACAUUUACUUAAAAGGUGCAAUUGCAUCACUACCAGAUGGACCUGCGUUGUAUUAGCUAGUUGGUGGGGUAACGGCUUACCAAGGCGACGAUACAUAGCCGACCUGAGAGGGUGAUCGGCCACACUGGGACUGAGACACGGCCCAGACUCCUACGGGAGGCAGCAGUAGGGAAUCUUCGGCAAUGGACGGAAGUCUGACCGAGCAACGCCGCGUGAGUGAAGAAGGUUUUCGGAUCGUAAAGCUCUGUUGUAAGAGAAGAACGAGUGUGAGAGUGGAAAGUUCACACUGUGACGGUAUCUUACCAGAAAGGGACGGCUAACUACGUG
This 495-nucleotide ribosomal RNA is filed under the name uncultured bacterium. Its description in RNAcentral is "partial 16S ribosomal RNA". It matches the Rfam family "Bacterial small subunit ribosomal RNA", at positions 28 to 507 of the family's 1533-position model. The record is from RNAcentral.